ACGGGAGGCAGCAGUGGGGGAUAUUGCACAAUGGGGGAAACCCUGAUGCAGCGACGCCGCGUGAGCGAAGAAGUAUUUCGGUAUGUAAAGCUCUAUCAGCAGGGAAGAAAAAUGACGGUACCUGACUAAGGAGCACCGGCUAAAUACGUGCCAGCAGCCGCGGUAAUACGUAUAGUGCAAGCGUUAUCCGGAUUUACUGGGUGUAAAGGGAGCGCAGGCGGUACGGCAAGUCUGAUGUGAAAGCCCGGGGCUCAACCCCGGUACUGCAUUGGAAACUGUCGAACUAGAGUGUCGGAGGGGUAAGUGGAAUUCCUAGUGUAGCGGUGAAAUGCGUAGAUAUUAGGAGGAACACCAGUGGCGAAGGCGGCUUACUGGACGAUCACUGACGCUGAGGCUCGAAAGCGUGGGGAGCAAACAGGAUUAGAUACCCUGGUA
RNAcentral lists this ribosomal RNA (435 nucleotides) under uncultured Lachnospiraceae bacterium. RNAcentral describes it as "partial 16S ribosomal RNA". It matches the Rfam family "Bacterial small subunit ribosomal RNA", at positions 341 to 792 of the family's 1533-position model. The record is from RNAcentral. Lineage: Bacteria; Bacillati; Bacillota; Clostridia; Lachnospirales; Lachnospiraceae.